This 24-nucleotide non-coding RNA is filed under the name Arabidopsis thaliana (thale cress). Lineage: Eukaryota; Viridiplantae; Streptophyta; Magnoliopsida; Brassicales; Brassicaceae. The record is from RNAcentral.
CACACUCGACCGUUUCUGCGCCGC